This 372-nucleotide ribosomal RNA is filed under the name uncultured organism. Its description in RNAcentral is "partial 16S ribosomal RNA". It matches the Rfam family "Bacterial small subunit ribosomal RNA", at positions 527 to 896 of the family's 1533-position model. The record is from RNAcentral.
GAGGGGUGCUAGCGUUAUUCGGAAUUAUUGGGCGUAAAGGGUGCGUAGACGGCAUGUUAAGUUGGUUGUUAAAUCCUUCGGCUUAACCGGAGGCUUGCGAUCAAAACUGGCAAGCUAGAGGAUGGAAGAGAGAAGUGGAAUUCUCGGAGUAGCGGUAAAGUGCGUAGAUCUCGAGAGGAACACCAAUGGCGAAGGCAGCUUCUUGGUCCAUUCCUGACGUUGAGGCACGAAAGCGUGGGUAGCAAACAGGAUUAGAUACCCUGGUAGUCCACGCCGUAAACGAUAAUCACUUGAUGUUAGUCCCUGUUUACAGGAUUAGUAUCGAAGCUAACGCGUUAAGUGAUUCGCCUGGGAACUACGAUCGCAAGAUUA